UUGUGACUGGAAUUAGUGGCAGUAGCCCC
This 29-nucleotide non-coding RNA is filed under the name Mus musculus (house mouse). Lineage: Eukaryota; Metazoa; Chordata; Mammalia; Rodentia; Muridae. The record is from RNAcentral.